ACCAACAAAACCAGACUAGGUGCAUUUAGAAUGGCGCUGCCUUGAUUUAAUUUCUGUCACUUUCAUUUAGGGACAACUAACUGAUGCCUACACAAGAGCAGACCACCAAGGUUCUUUGGUCGUUUCUGGAAGUCAGAUUUCCGUCCGCAACUGCUCUCUCUGUCUACUUGAUCAUCAGCCCCGCAGCCUUGGUCCUUUCAGUCCAUGACAUCAGCUCUAUGCACCUGGUCUCUUCCGCCUGCUCCAUCUGCUUGCGGACGGUCACGCACAACGGAACUCAGGGAGCGAGCCCACAGGCGUCCCGGAAGACUGUGUGUGUGCGCACACACCCGGCCUGGCUGGCCUCUCCGACCGUUGACCCGGAAAUGCUUAUGGCAGCCCCUUGGAUCUCUGGAGUACACCAUGGUAUUCCUUACAACGCGGCUCUGGCUACGGAACCGCCUCACGGACCGCUUUUGUCGGGUUCAGGAGGUGUUGAAACAUGCUCAGCAUUUUAGGGGAAGGAAGAAUCGCUGCUACCGGCUGGCAGUCAGGGCGGUGACCAGAGCUUUCGUUAAGUGUACGCAGGCCCGCAGACUGAAGAAGAGGAACCUGAGGACCCUCUGGACAAAUCGAAUUACAGCUGCCUCCCAGGAACAUGGCUUACAGUACCCAGCAUUCAUUGUCAACUUAAUUAAGUGCCAGGUGGAGCUCAACAGGAAAGUACUUGUGGACCUGGCCAUCUAUGAACCAAAGACUUUUAAAUCUUUGGCAGCUUUGGCUAAGAGAAGGCAGCAGGAAGGAUUUGCUGCAGCUUUGGGGGAUGGAAAGGAGCCUGAGGGCAUCUUUUCCAGAGUGAUGCAGUACCACUGAAGGCUAAAGAGCUAUGGAAAUUCUUAUAAACAAGAUAGUUGCAAAAGGAUUGUCUAUCACCAAUCCACCCCACAGCUGUAGCAGACCCAGAGGAAGAGCUGGAAGGGUUGAGAAGUAAAGACCCUGGACUAAAUCGCGCUGUAAUGCUGUGCGUGUGAGACUGUGGGGAAGAAGUCC
Peromyscus californicus insignis is the source of this 1029-nucleotide RNA transcript. It is a transcript of the gene named mitochondrial ribosomal protein L20, with no coding region annotated. The transcript is spliced from 5 exons. The record is from RefSeq and is a predicted model, not a curated record. Lineage: Eukaryota; Metazoa; Chordata; Mammalia; Rodentia; Cricetidae.